UAAUGGCCGAGCGCGAAGUACCGUACAGCGGAAUGAAGAUCAUAGCCCUCCUAUUCGCAGGAUGUUCAUGGUGAAGGAAGAGGAGGGGAGAGGUCGAUACUUCGGAACGUGUUCGAAAACUUGUUGGAGAACUGUCAUAUUAUUUUACGCGUAAAAUAUCUGAUGGCGUUCCGUGUACUUGAACGAUGACAUAUGGAUCUAUAACAUCACCCUUCGCUGAAGAUCUUCGAGGCCUUGGUAAAUGUUGUGCACUUAUAAUCUAGAGGAAACAUCAUGAAGUGUUAAUAUUACUCAAAACUACAGGAAUCCAUGUCAAUUCAUGGUAAUCUACAUACAAUCUGGCACCAACAGUGGGUCAACAAUGACCAACAAUGGGAACUGAUAGAGGUGGAACCAUUUGCACCCUUUAAGGCUGUAAGCUUCUCAUCUCCACCCGGUCCUCCUCUCCGUUAAAUGCUUAUUUAGAUGUCUAUAUGAUUACCUUCCUGGACGUUUUCCUGCCCAGUAUUUUAAUGCUAAGGCAGACAUUAAUGACAAUGAAUGUAGCUUGUAACACUGUAGCGAAUGAAUGUAGGUUACCUUUUAAUUUCUGAAAGAAGGAAAGCCUUAGCACAGUGUGCAGACUUCA
Long non-coding RNA from Schistocerca serialis cubense, 628 nucleotides. RefSeq lists it as uncharacterized. Lineage: Eukaryota; Metazoa; Arthropoda; Insecta; Orthoptera; Acrididae. The record is from RefSeq and is a predicted model, not a curated record. The transcript is spliced from 3 exons.